This is a long non-coding RNA of Acomys russatus (golden spiny mouse), 655 nucleotides long. RefSeq lists it as uncharacterized. The transcript is spliced from 3 exons. The record is from RefSeq and is a predicted model, not a curated record. Lineage: Eukaryota; Metazoa; Chordata; Mammalia; Rodentia; Muridae.
UAGUAACUGUUAUCUAUUUACAAUUUUUAAUGUGAAGGAUGGUUUAAGAAAAGUCAAGUGAUGACGUUUGGAGCCUGCCGGAGGCCAGCUGCUUUGUGUCAGGCACUGAGAACAAAAAGGUGGAUUUGCGGUCACUGAGCUCCUGAGGAAAGAAACAUCACAAAAUGUCUGCAGAAACAAAAGAAUGACAAAUCUUGUGGAUUCCUUGAGUAUUUCUUGCCCUAAAGAGUCUACAUUUUGUAGUUCUUUCACCUAAAAAAAUCUGUUUCGCUGGAGUCCUGCUGCUGCGAUAUUCACUGGGAAGUAAGGAAGGAGCUGCUUAACUUUAUGGUUUAUCCUGUGGCUUAGGGUCUGGUCUAUGAUCUCAGAUUCCUCCCCUGACUCUCUUCAGGUGAGAUAAGAAAAUUAGAGGAUGUAGAGUUGGAGAAAUGCCUUCCCUCUAAGUAGUUUAUGCAUUGGCAAAAUUAUUUCCUGGCAAGUAAGACUGUUUUUUAAAAAGGGGGUUCUAAACCUCCCCCCAAUCUCCAGCAGCUGAUCAAAUCAGAUGCUGAGACUCACAGCCAAGUAUUAGGUGGAGCUCUGGGAGUCCUGUGGAAGAGUGAGGCUGGGGAGGAUAGAAGGACCCAGAGGGGACAAGAACUCUGCAAGAAGACCA